This 245-nucleotide unclassified non-coding RNA is filed under the name plant metagenome. RNAcentral describes it as "partial contains small subunit ribosomal RNA, internal transcribed spacer 1, and 5.8S ribosomal RNA". The stretch from base 1 to 53 matches the Rfam family "Eukaryotic small subunit ribosomal RNA", at positions 1778 to 1831 of the family's 1831-position model. The record is from RNAcentral.
GGAAGUAAAAGUCUAACAAGGUCUCCGUUGGUGAACCAGCGGAGGGAUCAUUACAGGACUCGCAAGACUCCUUCACCCUGUGAACCUCACUACAAGCACGUUGCUUCGGCGGGUGUCCCGGCGGGGGUUUUCCCUCGCCGGGGCGCACAGCCCACCGGCAGCCUACUAUACUCUGUCUCUUUGCGUUGGCAUCUCGAGAAAAAACAAACAAGUUAAAACUUUCAACAACGGAUCUCUUGGUUCUG